CCUCUCCCUCUCUCUCCUCUCUCUCUCUCUCUCUCUCUCUCUCUCUCUCUCUCUCUCUCGCUCCCUCGCUGGCUCUCGCUUUCCUGUUCUGCAGCUCAGUCAAGUACAGCCGCCCUCGGAAGGAAAGUGCAAAGCAGCCACGAGACAGAUCGGGCUUUGUUGCUAAUUUCCCAGGGUGAAAAUUUACAAGCCUGUGAGUGCAGUCAGCACAAUCGCAUGCAUAUGCCCCUCACAGACGCUGGGGACCCGCGCACAGACUGUGACCUCGGCGAGGAGUCGACUCGGGAAAGACCCUACCUCCUGGACCUGUCCAAAAGAACCCCUGCGAAAGAGCUCCUAGGAAAAGGAAAAAAAUCAUCAGAAAAAACCCCGUGCAGAUGAAGAGGCUUUGCCACUUAAUGUACUGCACAGAUGUGAUCAUCAGCGGCUGCCGACAAUGAAAUAUACAAGUGCACACAAAGUGAUCUGGUGAACAAGAGGUGGAAUUUAAUCAUCUUCUGCUGGCACUUUGUGAAAAACACCAUUAACCCUCAGCAAACCCCCUGUUUUCCUGGCUCCCCAGAACCUCAAAGUCUCACCCCUCCCGUGAGAGGAAAAAGUGAAAGAAGAAUUUGUGCUUUUGUUUACUCAGCCAAGCUAAAGGUUGGAUCGGCCAGGCAAGCAGUUUCUUCAUUUCCUGAGAGUAAACUAUCCAGUUUAAUUACAGAUCCUUCAGAAAUCUUUGCAAAAGAAUUGCCAUAAAGAGCCAGAUCUUCUCAGUCCCACUGUCUUUUGCCUGUACCCUGUUUCAGCAACUUACCAUACAUUUGGUGACAGAAUUGACUUAAUCCAUGCCCCCCCCCAACACUUAGUCAAGAAAAAGAAAAGGCAAAACGUCUCUGAGAGAGAUGAAAACUUUAAGGAACAAUGAAGGAGAGAGGUAGUGCUCUGAAACGGUGAGAAGAAAAAAAUUACACAGCACACCUGGGACAGAUGAAGCCAAACUAGUGCUUUUAUAAUGCCAAUCAGCAGGGCUGUUAUCAUCCCUCUAAUUAGGAAAGCAGCCUAAAACAGAGAGCACUUGGGGAAAUGGUAAUGUUAUGGUUUUGCACUUAAAAGGAGAGACAUUUCCUGCACUGUAAGAAUCUAGGAUUGGGGCUGACAAGUCCUUUAAUUAAUGGGCAGGAUUCCCUGUGUGUGCAAGUGUGUGUGCAUGUUUUAAUUCAUAAAAGUGGACAAAGGGUGCCAGAGGAGGGGGUAGAGACUGAUGGGGGAAGGAGGGUGAAUCCUUAGUUUGAAGAUGAACAGAGUUCAUAGCUACAUUCAUCCCUUUCUUUUUCUUUUUCAACCUC
Non-coding RNA from Heterocephalus glaber (naked mole-rat), 1331 nucleotides. Lineage: Eukaryota; Metazoa; Chordata; Mammalia; Rodentia; Bathyergidae. The record is from RefSeq and is a predicted model, not a curated record.